Molecule: long non-coding RNA, 216 nt
Filed under: Capsicum annuum
Lineage: Eukaryota; Viridiplantae; Streptophyta; Magnoliopsida; Solanales; Solanaceae
Description: long non-coding RNA (CANN_LNC015829)
Source: RNAcentral
CGGGGUGUGUCAAGGGUAUCUUUGAAGGGUGUGCUUCAUUCAGGUCUUUAGAGGAUCAUAUCUUAUGUUCAAGCUCGUAGGUUGGUUAAGAGAGGAUGUUUAUCUUAUUUGGCUCAUAUUCAUAGUACUAGUGUGGGUUCACCUUCUUUCUUGGAUUCUGUUCGUGUUGUCUAUGAGUUUAUGGAUGUGUUCCCUACAGAUUUGCCUAGUAUGCCU